This 409-nucleotide ribosomal RNA is filed under the name Streptococcus sanguinis. RNAcentral describes it as "bacterial SSU rRNA". It matches the Rfam family "Bacterial small subunit ribosomal RNA", at positions 28 to 424 of the family's 1533-position model. Lineage: Bacteria; Bacillati; Bacillota; Bacilli; Lactobacillales; Streptococcaceae. The record is from RNAcentral.
GACGAACGCUGGCGGCGUGCCUAAUACAUGCAAGUAGAACGCUGAAGAGAGGAGCUUGCUCUUCUUGGAUGAGUUGCGAACGGGUGAGUAACGCGUAGGUAACCUGCCUGGUAGCGGGGGAUAACUAUUGGAAACGAUAGCUAAUACCGCAUAAAAUUGAUUAUUGCAUGAUAAUUAAUUGAAAGAUGCAAUUGCAUCACUACCAGAUGGACCUGCGUUGUAUUAGCUAGUUGGUGAGGUAACGGCUCACCAAGGCGACGAUACAUAGCCGACCUGAGAGGGUGAUCGGCCACACUGGGACUGAGACACGGCCCAGACUCCUACGGGAGGCAGCAGUAGGGAAUCUUCGGCAUAUGGGGGGAACCCUGACCGAUGCAACGCCGCGUGAUGUGAAGAAGGUUUUCGGAUU